GGUUGGCUCAGAAGCAGCCAUCCUUUAAAGAGUGCGUAACAGCUCACUAGUCGAAUGACUCUGCGCCGAUAAUUUACCGGGGCUAAGCAUACUACCGAAGCUAUGGAUCCCAAGGGAUGGUAGGGGAGCGUUCCAUGAACGGAGAAGUACGACCGAAAGGACGUGUGGAGAUCAUGGAAGAGAGAAUGCCGGUGUGAGUAGCGGAACGUGGGUGAGAAUCCCACGCACCGAAAACCCAAGGUUUCCAGAGGAAGGUUCGUCCGCUCUGGGUAAGUCGGGACCUAAGGCGAGGCCGAAAGGCGUAGUCGAUGGACAACAGGUAGAGAUUCCUGUACCCGUAUAUAUGUGAAGGAAUGACGGAGAGAGGAAGCUGCAGCCAGCGGCUGGAAGAGCUGGUGCAAGCGAGAUAUCGGGAUGGCAGGCAAAUCCACCAUCCGAAACGAGAAGGCGUGAAGCGUACGGAAAGCUACGGCGAGUACGGAAGGCAGUGGAGGAACUUCCAAGAAAAGUUUCUAACGUUAAGUAUAUAUGGCCCGUACCGAAAAUGGACACACAUGGGUGAGGAGAGAAUCCUAAGGUGAGCGAGAGAACUAUAGCUAAGGAACUCUGCAAAAUGACUCCGUAACUUAGGGAUAAGGAGUGCUCAUAGAGAUAUGAGCCGCAGUGAAACGGCCCAAGCGACUGUUUACCAAAAACACAGCUCUAUGCUAAGUCGAAAGACGACGUAUAUGGGGUGACGCCUGCCCGGUGCUGGAAGGUUAAGAGGAUGUGUCAGCGCAAGCGAAGCAUUGAAUUGAAGCCCCAGUAAACGGCGGCCGUAACUAUAACGGUCCUAAGGUAGCGAAAUUCCUUGUCAGGUAAGUUCUGACCCGCACGAAAGGCGUAACGAUUUGGGCGCUGUCUCAGCUGUAGACUCGGUGAAGUCUUAGUACCUGUGAAGAUGCAGGUUACCCGCGACUAGACGGAAAGACCCCAUGGAGCUUCACUGCAGGUUGAUAUUGGGAUUUGAUGCAGCAUGUACAGGAUAGGUAGGAGGCAAAGAGAUGGAUACGCCAGUAUUCAAGGAGCCGCUGUUGGGAUACUACCCCUGUUGUAUUGGAUUUCUAACCGGACGACGUAGAGCCGUUGACGGGACAGUGUCAGUCGGGCAGUUUGACUGGGGCGGUCGCCUCCCAAAGAGUAACGGAGGCGCCCAAAGAUACCCUCAGCUUGGAUGGAAAUCAAGCGCAGAGUGCAAAGGCAUAAGGGUGUUUGACUGCGAGACCUACAAGUCGAGCAGGGACGAAAGUCGGGCUUAGUGAUCCGGCGGUGCUGAAUGGAAAGGCCGUCGCUCAACGGAUAAAAGCUACCCUGGGGAUAACAGGCUGAUCUCCCCCAAGAGUUCACAUCGACGGGGAGGUUUGGCACCUCGAUGUCGGCUCAUCGCAUCCUGGAGCUGAAGUCGGUUCCAAGGGUUGGGCUGUUCGCCCAUUAAAGCGGUACGCGAGCUGGGUUCAGAACGUCGUGAGACAGUUCGGUCCCUAUCUGUCGUGGGCGUAGGAAGUUUGAGAAGAUCUGUCCUCAGUACGAGAGGACCGGGAUGGACAUAUCAAUGGUGCACCAGUUGUCACGCCAGUGGCACAGCUGGGUAGCUAAAUAUGGAAGGGAUAAACGCUGAAGGCAUCUAAGUGUGAAACCCACUUCAAGAUGAGACUUCCCAUUACGCAAGUAAGUAAGACCCCUUAAAGACGAUAAGGUUGA
RNAcentral lists this ribosomal RNA (1740 nucleotides) under human gut metagenome. RNAcentral describes it as "bacterial LSU rRNA". It matches the Rfam family "Bacterial large subunit ribosomal RNA", at positions 1099 to 2856 of the family's 2925-position model. The record is from RNAcentral.